AACAGGAUUAGAUACCCUGGUAGUCCAUGCCGUAAACGAUGUCUACUAGCCGUUGGGGCCUUUGAGGCUUUAGUGGCGCAGCUAACGCGAUAAGUAGACCGCCUGGGGAGUACGGUCGCAAGACUAAAACUCAAAUGAAUUGACGGGGGCCCGCACAAGCGGUGGAGCAUGUGGUUUAAUUCGAUGCAACGCGAAGAACCUUACCUGGUCUUGACAUAGUAAGAACUUUCCAGAGAUGGAUUGGUGCCUUCGGGAACUUACAUACAGGUGCUGCAUGGCUGUCGUCAGCUCGUGUCGUGAGAUGUUGGGUUAAGUCCCGCAACGAGCGCAACCCUUUUCCUUAUUUGCCAGCGGGUUAAGCCGGGAACUUUAAGGAUACUGCCAGUGACAAACUGGAGGAAGGCGGGGACGACGUCAAGUCAUCAUGGCCCUUACGACCAGGGCUACACACGUGCUACAAUGGUCGGUACAAAGGGUUGCUACCUAGCGAUAGGAUGCUAAUCUCAAAAAGCCGAUCGUAGUCCGGAUUGGAGUCUGCAACUCGACUCCAUGAAGUCGGAAUCGCUAGUAAUCACGGAUCAGAAUGCCGCGGUGAAUACGUUCCCGGGCCUUGUACACACCGCCCGUCACACCAUGGGAAUUUGUUGCACCAGAAGUAGGUAGUCUAACCGCAAGGAGGACGCUUACCACGGUGUGGCCGAUGACUGGGGUGAAGUCGUAACAAGGUAACC
RNAcentral lists this ribosomal RNA (731 nucleotides) under uncultured bacterium. RNAcentral's name for it is "bacterial SSU rRNA". It matches the Rfam family "Bacterial small subunit ribosomal RNA", at positions 771 to 1501 of the family's 1533-position model. The record is from RNAcentral.